Molecule: ribosomal RNA, 777 nt
Filed under: uncultured Neocallimastigales
Lineage: Eukaryota; Fungi; Neocallimastigomycota; Neocallimastigomycetes; Neocallimastigales
Description: partial large subunit ribosomal RNA
Rfam family: Eukaryotic large subunit ribosomal RNA
Source: RNAcentral
AUAUCAGUCAUGCAUAGCAUAUCAAUAAGCGGAGGAAAAGAAACUAACAAGGAUUCCCUUAGUAACGGCGAGUGAAGCGGGAAGAGCUCAAAUUUGAAAUCUUCAAGGUUCUACCUUGACGAAUUGUAGUUUAUAGAAGUGUUUUCUGUUAGUGGAGUGGCAAAAGUUCUUUGGAAUAGGACAUCAUAGAGGGUGAGAAUCCCGUAUUUGGUCAUUCCUCCUAGCGUUGUGAUACACUUUCAACGAGUCGGAUUGUUUGGGAAUGCAGUCCAAAAUGGGUGGUAAAUUUCAUCUAAAGCUAAAUAUUGGCGAGAGACCGAUAGCGAACAAGUACCGUGAUGGGAAAGAUGAAAAGAACUUUGAAAAGAGAGUUAAACAGUACGUGAAAUUGUCAAAAGGGAAGCGUUUGACACCAGUGUUGUUUAUUGAAAAUCAAUUCAAUAAUUUGGGAUUUUGAGUAGUAUUGACUUCAUCAGCUUUCUGCACUUUCUUUUCUAGUAUUAUUUAAUGCACUUUUCAGUUAACAAGUCAACAUCAAUUUCUUUUGUUGUAAAAGAGUAAUAGGAAGGUGGCUUACCUUUCGCGUGAAGUGUUUAUAGCCUUUGACCUCUGCAAUCGGAGAGAUUGAGGACAGCAGCGUAGACUCUUCGGGGUUAGAUACACUUGUGCUAAGCUAUAGCCUUGUAUAGACAACUUGUUGACUAUGCUCAGUCAUGUAGCUUACUCGCUAUGUGCUAUUUUACCUACGCUUAGGAUGUUGAUCUCUCACAGUCGAGC